RNAcentral lists this ribosomal RNA (250 nucleotides) under uncultured bacterium. Its description in RNAcentral is "partial 16S ribosomal RNA". It matches the Rfam family "Bacterial small subunit ribosomal RNA", at positions 524 to 773 of the family's 1533-position model. The record is from RNAcentral.
UACGAAGGGUGCAAGCGUUAAUCGGAAUUACUGGGCGUAAAGCGUGCGUAGAUGGUUUGUUAAGUCGGAUGUGAAAGCCCCGGGCUCAACCUGGGAACUGCAUCUGAUACUGGCAGACUAGAGUGUGGUAGAGGAUGGCGGAAUUCCCGGUGUAGCGGUGAAAUGCGUAGAGAUCGGGAGGAACAUCCGUGGCGAAGGCGGCCAUCUGGACCAACACUGACGUUGAGGCACGAAAGCGUGGGGAGCGAAC